This 1274-nucleotide long non-coding RNA is filed under the name Chloebia gouldiae (Gouldian finch). RNAcentral's name for it is "Erythrura gouldiae (Gouldian finch) lncRNA (ENSEGOG00005000268.1)". Lineage: Eukaryota; Metazoa; Chordata; Aves; Passeriformes; Passeridae. The record is from RNAcentral.
ACUGUUGUCACUGUACCUACGAAGACUUAGGAGCAGCAAGUCACCAUUUUAUGAACUGGAUUUUACAGUUGCCAUAUGUUGGAUUAAAAUAAGAUCUUAAACUUCGAAAUGUGUGAGCUUUCCAGGAUAGAACUUCCUAGGUUUGUUCAUACUUCCUGUCAUAGGAACCUGGCCUCUUUUUAUUGGAAGAUGCAGGAUGACUGGCAUUGAUAGGUACCCUGUGCUGCUUUGUAAAGUGUAAAGAACUAAGUACUGGCCUUCAAAAAAUCAGGAGGAGAUACAUUACUGCUUUCAGAUGUCAAUGCAAGAAUGUGUGAUCCCAGGAUUUCCUAAGGCACGUGUAAUGCAGGAACAGUAGUCUAAUGUUAGACUUAUCAUCAGUGGAUGUACAUGCUGGAUGGUGCUGUUGUACAACAGACUGAAAACAGAAGCACUCCACCCACUACUGACUCUUUCAGGCUUUUUUGGUCUCUUCCCACAGAGGUAGCAGAAUUCAUCCAAUAGAAAGGAAAGAUUGAAAUAGUGCAUGAGAAAUAGGAGAUUUCUGUACAGCUUGAGAAGCUUUGGAAUAUAUUCCUUGAUAGAUUUUUUUUCACUGUGGUUAUUUGAUCACAACUAGGCACUGAGCAGCAGCUGUAAGCUUUCUCCUAGGUCUGGGUAAAUAUCCUGAUUCCCAUCUGUACAUUUGGGCCAUCUCAUUUUUUCUGUUACCCUACAGUGCAAGGCCUUGUCUGGCUCAGAGUUUUCUGCUGCCACAAUUGCGAUGAGUCUAUGCUCUUGAAGAUGUUCAAAGGAAGCUCACAAAAUUGCAGAGUAUGCUGAUUUGGAAAGAACCCAUAAGGACUAUUUGAGUCCAAGUUGUCUAGCUCUAGAGUCCUGAAAAUUUCUUUGGAUUUAGCUGAAGCUUUUGAAAGGCAGUGAGUUGAAUCUGCUGCUGCUCUGAGUCUCCUUUAUGGUCUUGUAAUGAAACUUUUGCACACAAGUUAUCAAGAAUAUGUGCAUAGAUGAGCUUUUGGUAAAACUUGGAGAACAGAUAAGAUGAAUUUAGAGUACAAAAUGUUAUGCUGCUCUAAUGCAUUUAGAGACAACCCUUAACUUGUGUUAAAAAUAUCUGCCUCUUUAAAGUUGGUCUUCCCAAAUAGCCAUGAAAGAAUUACUGUGUGGAAAAACAGUACACCAUUGCAGGCUUUUGUUUUCUUGGAAGAAUCUGAGGCAACUGGAAGAAAUAGUUCUGUAAGUAUUAAAGUAAUAAAAAGUAAAACAAGCAGACUACA